UACGGAGGGUGCAAGCGUUACUCGGAAUCACUGGGCGUAAAGCGCGCGCAGGCGGCUAGAUAAGUUGGAAGUGAAAUCCUAUGGCUCAACCAUAGAACUGCUUCCAAAACUGUUUAGCUAGAGUCUGGGAGGGGAAGAUGGAAUUAGUAGUGUAGGGGUAAAAUCCGUAGAGAUUACUAGGAAUACCAAAAGCGAAGGCGAUCUUCUGGAACAGUACUGACGCUGAGGCGCGAAAGCGUGGGGAGCAAACAGGAUUAGAUACCCUGGUAGUCCACGCCCUAAACGAUGAAUGUUAGUCGUCGGGACUCUAGUAGUUUCGGUGAUGCAGUUAACACAUUAAACAUUCCGCCUGGGGAGUACGGUCGCAAGAUUAAAACUCAAAGGAAUAGACGGGGACCCGCACAAGUGGUGGAGCAUGUGGUUUAAUUCGAAGAUACGCGAAGAACCUUACCUAGCCUUGACAUAUUUUAGAACUCCGCAGAGAUGUAGAGGUGCCUUCGGGAGCUAAUAUACAGGUGCUGCACGGCUGUCGUCAGCUCGUGUCGUGAGAUGUUGGGUUAAGUCCCGCAACGAGCGCAACCCUCGUUCUUAGUUACUAACGGUUCGGCCGAGGACUCUAAGAAGACUGCCUUCGUAAGGAGGAGGAAGGUGAGGACGACGUCAAGUCAUCAUGGCCCUUACGGCUAGGGCAACACACGUGCUACAAUGGUUAGGACAAUGAGACGCAAUACCGCGAGGUGGAGCAAAUCUAUAAACCUAAUCUCAGUUCGGAUUGUAGUCUGCAACUCGACUACAUGAGGCUGGAAUCACUAGUAAUCGUAGAUCAGCUAUGCUA
This 835-nucleotide ribosomal RNA is filed under the name uncultured Sulfurovum sp. RNAcentral describes it as "bacterial SSU rRNA". It matches the Rfam family "Bacterial small subunit ribosomal RNA", at positions 524 to 1359 of the family's 1533-position model. The record is from RNAcentral. Lineage: Bacteria; Pseudomonadati; Campylobacterota; Epsilonproteobacteria; Campylobacterales; Sulfurovaceae.